GAGUUUGAUCCUGGCUCAGAUUGAACGCUGGCGGCAGGCCUAACACAUGCAAGUCGAGCGGUAGAGAGAAGCUUGCUUCUCUUGAGAGCGGCGGACGGGUGAGUAAUGCCUAGGAAUCUGCCUGGUAGUGGGGGAUAACGCUCGGAAACGGACGCUAAUACCGCAUACGUCCUACGGGAGAAAGCAGGGGACCUUCGGGCCUUGCGCUAUCAGAUGAGCCUAGGUCGGAUUAGCUAGUUGGUGAGGUAAUGGCUCACCAAGGCGACGAUCCGUAACUGGUCUGAGAGGAUGAUCAGUCACACUGGAACUGAGACACGGUCCAGACUCCUACGGGAGGCAGCAGUGGGGAAUAUUGGACAAUGGGCGAAAGCCUGAUCCAGCCAUGCCGCGUGUGUGAAGAAGGUCUUCGGAUUGUAAAGCACUUUAAGUUGGGAGAAGGCAGUAAAUUAAUACUUUGCUGUUUUGACGUUACCGACAGAAUAAGCACCGGCUAACUCUGUGCCAGCCGCC
This 510-nucleotide ribosomal RNA is filed under the name uncultured bacterium. Its description in RNAcentral is "bacterial SSU rRNA". It matches the Rfam family "Bacterial small subunit ribosomal RNA", at positions 9 to 516 of the family's 1533-position model. The record is from RNAcentral.